This 335-nucleotide long non-coding RNA is filed under the name Salvia miltiorrhiza (redroot sage). Its description in RNAcentral is "long non-coding RNA (SMIL_LNC010667)". The record is from RNAcentral. Lineage: Eukaryota; Viridiplantae; Streptophyta; Magnoliopsida; Lamiales; Lamiaceae.
GUCAGGGAAAGGACCUUUAUAUAGGCACAGGGGAUAAAUACAGUUUAGAACUCGAAAAUACUGAGAAAAUAUAAAAACCCGAAAAUUCCCGAAAAUUCGGAAAUUUCCGUCAACACUAUUCACUGCUGUGCGCGACUUUCUUGUUUUGGCCAUAACUUUCUUGUCCGAACUCCGAUUUAUGAUCCGUUUGCGCUCACGAACUCCUCUUCACUACAAGAAAAGCUACCGGACACCGACGGAAUUACCGACGGAAUUAAUUCCGUCACCAAAUAACGACCGAAUAACGACGGAUUAACGACGGAAAUACUCUUUCAUACAUAGCGAUGGAUUUACCG